GUCACUGAGACAACGGUCGCCACUCUGCUGCAAACGAUAGCAACGCUCAAACGAGAGGUUGCAACCCUGAGGCAAGACGACUCUUUAUCGCAGAAGAUCGAAAAAUUAAAAAGGCAAAUCGAUACUUUAAAUCAAAACAACUCUUUACAGCAGACCGUGGAAGUUUUGAGAAGGCAGAUUGGUUUUCUUAGACGUGACAGAACUUUACAGAACUCGGUAAACUCAUUGAAAAGAGAGAUUAACUCCCAAAAGCGGGAGGGCAGGGAAAAUUUAGAAAAUUGUCAGAAAAAAAUGCAGGACUUUGAUCAAAAGUUCAAAAUUCUCAGUGAAAAUAUGACGGCUAUCCAACAGUAUCUUACAAGGACGGAGGGGAAAACCAUAGAAAAAGGUUCAAAACUAACAAGGGAUUGUAGAGAUCACUAUCUACUUCAACACGCAGUCUGGUUUAUAUAACAUAAACCCUUUUGGUAACGAGACCAGUGUCAGCCUGUAUUGUGACAUGGUGACUGAUGGAGGAGGGUGGACAGCUAUCCAGAAACGUGUGAGUGGUUCGGUGUCAUUCAACAGAAACUGGACGGACUACAAGGCGGGAUUCGGGAAUCCUAACGGAUCCUAAUGGAUAGGGAAUGACGUCAUACAUCAACUUACUAAAAGAAGGAACUCCUCCCUCUACGUCUCCAUGACACUGACCAAUGGGACAAAGCUCUAUGAAUUAUACAACCAGUUCUCUGUUGCUGACGAAACCAACAACUACCGACUUUUUCUUGGCGGACCAGCCAUUGGGACCCUGGGUAGGUAAACGGAAAAAAGAAUGUACGAAUGACGACCUAUAUUAAGGAGAGCGAGGGAGAAAGAUUUUAAUUUCUUGUGACAGAUAGACAAAUAUCAAUUCUUUCUGUGAGAAUCUACCCUAUAGCUACGUAAUUAAUGGAGGGGGAUGUGUUGAUAUCAAUAUUUUGAAAGUAAAAUGUUCCUGUUAUAUUGAAAAUCGAGAGUCCCUACUAUAUAAACCAAUCAGUAAUAACUCGCUAAAAGAUUGAACAUCCCCACGUCAUAAACACUACAUGCAUACUU
This is a long non-coding RNA of Saccostrea cuccullata (small rock oyster), 1074 nucleotides long. RefSeq lists it as uncharacterized. The record is from RefSeq and is a predicted model, not a curated record. The transcript is spliced from 4 exons. Lineage: Eukaryota; Metazoa; Mollusca; Bivalvia; Ostreida; Ostreidae.